This 411-nucleotide ribosomal RNA is filed under the name Acanthamoeba sp. Its description in RNAcentral is "SSU rRNA". It matches the Rfam family "Eukaryotic small subunit ribosomal RNA", at positions 762 to 1096 of the family's 1831-position model. Lineage: Eukaryota; Discosea; Longamoebia; Acanthamoebidae. The record is from RNAcentral.
AAAAUUAGAGUGUUCAAAGCAGGCAGAUCCAAUUCUCUGCCACCGAAUACAUUAGCAUGGGAUAAUGGAAUAGGACCCUGUCCUCCUAUUUUCAGUUGGUUUUGGCAGCGCGAGGACUAGGGUAAUGAUUAAUAGGGAUAGUUGGGGGCAUUAAUAUUUAAUUGUCAGAGGUGAAAUUCUUGGAUUUAUGAAAGAUUAACUUCUGCGAAAGCAUCUGCCAAGGAUGUUUUCAUUAAUCAAGAACGAAAGUUAGGGGAUCGAAGACGAUCAGAUACCGUCGUAGUCUUAACCAUAAACGAUGCCGACCAGCGAUUAGGAGACGUUGAAUACAAAACACCACCAUCGGUGCGGCUGUUCUUGGCGUCGGUUUCGGCCGGCGCGGGGACGGCUUAGCCCGGUGGCACCGGUGAA